UACGUAGGGGGCGAGCGUUGUCCGGAAUUAUUGGGCGUAAAGAGCGUGUAGGCGGCGCGGUAAGUCGGGUGUGAAAUCUCGGAGCUUAACUCCGAAACUGCAUUCGAUACUGCCGUGCUUGAGGACUGGAGAGGAGACUGGAAUUUACGGUGUAGCGGUGAAAUGCGUAGAUAUCGUAAGGAAGACCAGUGGCGAAGGCGGGUCUCUGGACAGUUCCUGACGCUGAGGCACGAAGGUCAGGGGAGCAAACGGG
RNAcentral lists this ribosomal RNA (253 nucleotides) under uncultured bacterium. RNAcentral describes it as "partial 16S ribosomal RNA". It matches the Rfam family "Bacterial small subunit ribosomal RNA", at positions 524 to 776 of the family's 1533-position model. The record is from RNAcentral.